Molecule: long non-coding RNA, 1634 nt
Filed under: Malus domestica (apple)
Lineage: Eukaryota; Viridiplantae; Streptophyta; Magnoliopsida; Rosales; Rosaceae
Description: long non-coding RNA (MDOM_LNC016437)
Source: RNAcentral
UAGUUGAUGAUUUAUUACACAACAAAAACUAAAAGACAAAAUAAAUUAUUUGCUAAUUAAGUUUUGAAUUUUUUUUAAACAAACGAUAUUAUCUAUAUACUAAUAAGGAGGGGGCUUGACUUAGUCUCACAAUAGGCUAGCAAUAAUGUGGUUCAAAUCUGUAUUUGACAAUAAUCGAACCUAAAACCUCUCACUUACAUGUAAAAAUAAAUAUCAUUAAACUGUAGUACUAAAUGAUAAUUAAGUUCAAACCAUAGACUUAAUUGCAAUUUUAUUUAACGAUUAUCACACUAUUCCUCCCCAAGAACUAAUCCCAAGACGUUUCACCACUCCAAAUUUUAAUAAUUAUUAUGGUACAAUUGUCGAAUGGUUUAUGUUGGAAAAAUAGGUGUAAAAUUGCUGUAUUGAUAUUGAGUCUUUAUCAAAUGGUCAUUGAAAUUGAAAAUUCAUCAAUGUGGUCUUUGAAAAUAGGUGUCGCAAAUCAAUGUGGUCAUUCCAUCACAAUUCUGUAAAAAAUUCUGUUUUAUGCUUGUGGAUGCAAAUUUCCGCCUUCUUCUCCUUUAAUGAAAAUGCACCUACAAAACAAUUAACAUCUAAGAUCAAGGCCAAGAGCCUUACGCACCCAUGAUGAAUUGGAGAAUGAGCUUUGGCCGAAGAAUCUCCGAUGAUAAAGUUAGAAUUUGAGAGAGAAAGUAUUUAGGGAAUUUUAGAGAAAUAUUUGGCCUGCAUUUUGGUGUGAAGAUGGGGCUAUAUAUAAGGGUGUGGUGUGCCUAUUUGAAGAAAUAGGGACUGGCCACUUAUGGUGGUAUUUUGAAUAUAAUUGCAAUAUAUUAUGUCAAAUAUUAUCUUCCAGUUAAUUUAGUAAUUAAUCCCAAUUUGAAAAAAAUAAUUGGGAGUUACCUUAUGGGUGAGGAUUUGAUGAGGAGUGAUGACAGGGUUUUGAAUAAAUACCAUUUUGAUCACCUUUGACCUUGAUUAAGCCGUUAUUGUUUGUUGCAUGUGUGUGGGAAUCCCAGUGUGCCUCAAAGGUAAUUUUGUCUUUUUUACCCAAAAGUCCACGUGUCGCCUCCAUAAGUUUCUUGAUUAUUUUUGGCUUCACAAAUGCCCCUACACCUGUUAGGUUGUUCGUAGGAAAGGGUAGCAGUUGUAGAGAUUUUCUCUUGCUUUGGAUAACAUAUAAUUGCCCCCACACUUAACGUGGGCCAGGCUGGACAUUGAGAGAAAUAAGGAGGUUGUAGGUCUUAUGGACUGCUGGAAUGCUGGGCAUGCAGACCUCUUGCCUGUUAGUUUGAGAGAAAAAUUGAAGGAAAAACUAGCAUGGGUUGAGCUUCCAUGCUGAGUACUAUGAAUAGUGUUGGUUGCUUAGUCCUCUUUGCCAGGAGAAAGAUAGGUUGCUUCUGAGAGAGGAGAUGAAGAGGAUCAAGGCAUAUGCAUUAGCUUGUCCGAUUGCUGUCGUGGAGCAUAUUAUGAAUGAAGGUGGAGUGAAGAGGUAUUCCCCGCCUACUCAAGAGAUGCCGGUUGAGAAAAAACUGAAGACUUCAUCCGCUGGUCGUGAGGGUUUGCCUGCUACCAAGAGGCCCGUGAUUGACUUGACUUCUUCCGAUUGGAAGAAAAAUGAGGUCGCUAAAUCUGAG